UAUAUUUUAAUGUAUUUUUAUGCAUAUAAAUUUUUGAAUUUUAAAGAAAUAGUUUGGUCUAUUAAAUAUAA
This 71-nucleotide transfer RNA is filed under the name Camponotus atrox. Its description in RNAcentral is "tRNA-Gln". The record is from RNAcentral. Lineage: Eukaryota; Metazoa; Arthropoda; Insecta; Hymenoptera; Formicidae.